GAUGAACGCUGGCGGUGUGCCUUAAGCAUGCAAGUCGAACGGGUUUAGUAGCAAUACUAGACCAGUGGCGGACGGGUGAGUAUAACGUAGGAAUCUACCUUAAAGUGUGGAAUAGCCGGCCGAAAGGCCGGGUAAUACCGCAUGUGAUCGCAAGAUUAAAGGCCUUAACCGGCCGCUUUAAGAGGAGCCUGCGCCCUAUCAGCUAGUUGGCGGGGUAAUAGCCCACCAAGGCGAUGACGGGUAGGGGUGUGAGAGCAUGACCCCCCACAAGGUCACUGAGACACGGGACCUACACCUACGGGUGGCUG
Molecule: ribosomal RNA, 308 nt
Filed under: uncultured Microgenomates group bacterium
Lineage: Bacteria
Description: bacterial SSU rRNA
Rfam family: Bacterial small subunit ribosomal RNA
Source: RNAcentral